UAGGGAAUCUUCGGCAAUGGACGGAAGUCUGACCGAGCAACGCCGCGUGAGUGAAGAAGGUUUUCGGAUCGUAAAGCUCUGUUGUUAGAGAAGAACGUUGGUAGGAGUGGAAAAUCUACCAAUUGACGGUAACUAACCAGAAAGGGACGGCUAACUACGUGCCAGCAGCCGCGGUAAUACGUAGGUCCCGAGCGUUGUCCGGAUUUAUUGGGCGUAAAGCGAGCGCAGGCGGUUCUUUAAGUCUGAAGUUAAAGGCAGUGGCUUAACCAUUGUACGCUUUGGAAACGGGAGGACUUGAGUGCAGAAGGGGAGAGUGGAAUUCCAUGUGUAGCGGUGAAAUGCGUAGAUAUAUGGAGGAACACCGGUGGCGAAAGCGGCUCUCUGGUAUGUAACUGACGCUGAGGCUAGAAAGCGUGGGGAGCAAACAGG
Molecule: ribosomal RNA, 429 nt
Filed under: Bacillota bacterium
Lineage: Bacteria; Bacillati; Bacillota
Description: Firmicutes bacterium partial 16S ribosomal RNA
Rfam family: Bacterial small subunit ribosomal RNA
Source: RNAcentral